UACGGGGGGGGCAAGCGUUGUUCGGAAUUACUGGGCGUAAAGGGCGCGUAGGCGGCCUUCUAAGUCGGACGUGAAAUCCCUCGGCUUAACCGAGGAACUGCGUCCGAUACUGAAAGGCUUGAAUCCGGGAGAGGGAUGUGGAAUUCCAGGUGUAGCGGUGAAAUGCGUAGAUAUCUGGAGGAACACCGGUGGCGAAGGCGGCAUCCUGGACCGGCAUUGACGCUGAGGCGCGAAGGCCAGGGGAGCAAACGGG
RNAcentral lists this ribosomal RNA (253 nucleotides) under uncultured bacterium. Its description in RNAcentral is "partial 16S ribosomal RNA". It matches the Rfam family "Bacterial small subunit ribosomal RNA", at positions 524 to 776 of the family's 1533-position model. The record is from RNAcentral.